This 32-nucleotide ribosomal RNA is filed under the name Platanus racemosa var. racemosa. Lineage: Eukaryota; Viridiplantae; Streptophyta; Magnoliopsida; Proteales; Platanaceae. The record is from RNAcentral.
GGGUGCGAUCAUACCAGCAGUAAUGCACCGGA